UUCAUUUUACUGUGCUUUAAUGGGUAACCUGAGAGACUUGGAAUGAAAAAAUUAGGGAAGAAACUUUCAUACAGUACUAUAUAAGAUUUGAAAAGAAUAAAGACAGAUGAAAUCUAUCAAAAUCACAUAUCGAUUUGUGUGUAUGUGUGUGUAUAACUGACAACAAAUAUGACCCUCUAUUUCUUAAGGAUGUAACAGAAUAAAUACCAUAUAAACCAACACCCACACACUAAUAUUAAGUGUUUUGGGUCUAAACACCCACUGCCUGGAUCAGACAGUCUCUUUAGGUAUAUGAGAAAGCAACAGGAAUCUUCCCACCUCCCAAAAAUCCAACAAAUGAACAAAGGAUCCUUAAAUGGCUAUGGCACUUUUUUCUUCAAAAAACAGCUACAAAAUGAUGAGAGGGUAAAGAAAAGGGUCUUUCUGCUACAGCACAAAAGUUCCUCCUAAUCAUCCCUAUGUGCCUAAGAAAUUCCUGGCAAUUGUGGGUAUGAUUUCAGUCCACCUCUUCUCAGGCUGCCGCUGUGCCCAAGCAUAACACAACUCUCUGGCAGCUGCGGGUUAAUCAUAAAGACUCCAAGGAUCCCUGCUGAGCCUGGCUAUCUGCAGGGCAGGAAGCACCAGCUCAGCAGCAGACCCCAAAGAACCACACAACUUUCUGCCUUCAUUCCUAAGAUCUCAGCAAAAGAUUUCAAGCUUGAUUUUAAAGGGACCACUGGAUGUGCUUUGGAGAACACAUGAAGAAAACCAUACUGAGGAAAAAAAUGUGAGAUGAGCUCAGGACUUUACCUACUUUAUAGUGAUCUUAACACACAAAGAAAGAAGAGCUCACCAAAGAGCUAAGACUAGGAAAAGAGUAUGAGAAAUAACUAGUUUCAGAUCCUUGGAUAAUUUUAUUCCUCUUGGGUCACAGUGAUGGGCUGAUGCUGCUUAAUCAUUUUCGGAUUUCCCCAGAGUAUGACUUCAUACUUAAGAAGGAAUUGUCAAACUGUCCUUAAACUUGGUGACUAGUGAUUUCUUUUUUCUUGCCCCCAGCUUUAUUGAGAUACAAUUGCCUAGUGGUUUCUUCAACAAUUGUAAACCAUCCUAUUUGAAUCUUUAUCCCACUAUUUCCUAUCCUCAAGGUCCACGAAGCUGAAACAAUUAGUUACUCACCCAACCUGAAAUUUAUGCCUAAGCUGAAGUUCACAGAGUUGGAAUGUUUGCUUCAAGCUAUCUCUGAGCUGUAGAGGGGGGAAGGAAAAAAAAAAAAAACCAACCUAUUUAAAAACCAUAUGCUUCACAGAAAAAAAAAAAAAA
Sus scrofa (pig) is the source of this 1299-nucleotide non-coding RNA. NCBI's taxonomy places the organism in Eukaryota, Metazoa, Chordata, Mammalia, Artiodactyla, Suidae. The record is from RefSeq and is a predicted model, not a curated record.